ACGGCGGCCGUAACUAUAACGGUCCUAAGGUAGCGAAAUUCCUUGUCGGGUAAGUUCCGACCCGCACGAAAGGCGUAACGAUUUGGGCACUGUCUCAACGAGAGACUCGGUGAAAUUAUAGUACCAGUGAAGAUGCUGGUUACCCGCGACAGGACGGAAAGACCCCAUGGAGCUUUACUGCAGUUUGAUAUUGCGUGUUUGUAUCACAUGUACAGGAUAGGUAGGAGCCGAAGAUACCGGGACGCCAGUCUCGGAGGAGGCAACGGUGGGAUACUACCCUUGUGAUAUGACCACUCUAACCCGCUGCUCUUAGCGAGCAGGGAGACAGUGUCAGACGGGCAGUUUGACUGGGGCGGUCGCCUCCAAAAAUGUAACGGAGGCGCCCAAAGGUUCCCUCAGAAUGGUUGGAAAUCAUUCGUAGAGUGUAAAGGCAGAAGGGAGCUUGACUGCGAGACCUACAAGUCGAGCAGGGACGAAAGUCGGGCUUAGUGAUCCGGUGGUUCCGCAUGGAAGGGCCAUCGCUCAACGGAUAAAAGCUACCCUGGGGAUAACAGGCUUAUCUCCCCCAAGAGUUCACAUCGACGGGGAGGUUUGGCACCUCGAUGUCGGCUCAUCGCAUCCUGGGGCUGUAGUCGGUCCCAAGGGUUGGGCUGUUCGCCCAUUAAAGCGGUACGCGAGCUGGGUUCAGAACGUCGUGAGACAGUUCGGUCCCUAUCCGUCGCGGGCGUUGGAAAUUUGAGAGGAGCUGUCCUUAGUACGAGAGGACCGGGAUGGACACACCGCUGGUGUACCAGUUGUUCUGCCAAGAGCAUCGCUGGGUAGCUAUGUGUGGACGGGAUAAACGCUGAAAGCAUCUAAGCGUGAAGCCCCCCUCAAGAUGAGAUUUCCCAUCACUUUAAGUGAGUAAGACCCCUGAGAGAUGAUCAGGUAGAUAGGUUGGGAGUGGAAGUACAGCGAUGUAUGGAGCGGACCAAUACUAAUCGGUCGAGGACUUAACCAAUUU
Molecule: ribosomal RNA, 1003 nt
Filed under: Bacteroidia bacterium
Lineage: Bacteria; Pseudomonadati; Bacteroidota; Bacteroidia
Description: partial 23S ribosomal RNA
Rfam family: Bacterial large subunit ribosomal RNA
Source: RNAcentral